This 395-nucleotide ribosomal RNA is filed under the name uncultured bacterium. RNAcentral's name for it is "bacterial SSU rRNA". It matches the Rfam family "Bacterial small subunit ribosomal RNA", at positions 28 to 416 of the family's 1533-position model. The record is from RNAcentral.
GACGAACGCUGGCGGCGUGCCUAACACAUGCAAGUCAAGGGGAAAGGUUUCUUCGGAGACCGAUUACACUGGCGGACGGGUGAGUAACGCGUAGGUAACCUGCCCUCAAGCUUGGGAUAACCUCUGGAAACGGGGGCUAAUACCGGAUGUGGUCUUGAUGUUGCAUAGCAUUAAGAUUAAAGCUGGGUUUCUAGCACUUGAGGAUGGGCCUGCGUUCCAUUAGCUAGUUGGUGAGGUAACGGCCCACCAAGGCGACGAUGGAUAGCUGGUCUGAGAGGAUGAUCAGCCACACUGGGACUGAGAUACGGCCCAGACUCCUACGGGAGGCAGCAGUGGGGAAUAUUGCGCAAUGCCCGCAAGGGUGACGCAGCGACGCCGCGUGGGUGAAGAAGGCC